UCCUACGGUUAAUUAAAAAGCCCCUUUUCCGAGGUGGGUGUGCCCAGGGGUUUGCUGGCACCACGGCUCUUCUGGUGCCCAUCCAUGAAUUCUGUGGCCCUGGGAAGGCACCACAGAAUUCUGAGACCCAAAGUGAGUUGGGGGAAAUUGCACAUUGGACACAAUUCGACACCCACAGAGAGCUGGAGACGCUGCCAGGGAUGGACAUCCCAUCCACAGGGAUGUGUGUUUUCCAGAGGAACCUGGGAGGUGUAAACAAGAGGUUUGUAAACCCAGGAGGUGGGGAAAGAAAAGCCAAGAGUACCAGAGUCGUGCCUGCUCUGAGGAACCAACAGAAGCUGCUGAUCCCUGUGGUCCCAGCUCACUGCUGGACAGACUGGUGGUGGAAUUGCAAGGGAACCCCCUUGGAGCCUCACAGCCCCCCCAGAGCCAGCCUGCCUGACCUGUGGACUUAAAUAUCCCAGGAAACACCUGCUGGAAGGUGUCAGCCAGCACCUCACGAAGCUGCAGGUCCAGAAAUCUUUAAACAGGGAAGAAUAAUCAGUAGUUCUUCAAGCUCAGGCAGCACCUCCCACCUGAGAGUGGGUCCCAUUUUCCCAGUUGUGGAGGGGUAGGAUCCAUCCCCCAGCACCUCCCAGGAUGGACAAACAGGGAAUGCAGUGUGGUGGAAGUGCCCAUGGCCAGACACCUCCUGCUGAUCUGUGAUGGGCCGUGAAGGUGUGAGGGCCCCCACUCCUGCACUGCCGCUCUCCCCCCUCUCUGAGGGUUCCUCCAGCUGGAGGUGGUCUGGAAAGGGGCAGGUCAGCCCUGCCUGGCUGUGCCCCCUGACCCCUGCCAGCCCCCAGCCCUGACCCCUGCUCCCCCUCGCUCUCCCCUCGCCCUCUGCGCUGUCCGGGUCCUUCCCCUCCUGUCCCCUCCUUUCAUCCUGCCGGGAUGGAGCAGCAGCUCCGUGUGUGUCCAGGGGCUGGAUGGAGGCAGGAGCCAGGGGCCCCUGGCAGUGUUUUGGGGGGCAGGAGGAAGGGCAGAGCCCUGCUGUAGCUCACAACUAAAUGCUGCCUUUCACUCCAGCAUUCCCAGGGAAAGUAAUGAGAAUAAUUAAAGGUAAUUUCAUUUAUUUCAGCUCCAGCGUGUAAAGCAGAUGGGGGUGGGGGUUUCAGCCUCUCACUGAAGAAGGGGAGGGCAGAAAGCAGAGCCCCAGUGCCGAGCUGCCUUCAAGGGUUACAGGGAUGCCCUUUUCCCUCCUGGGACCACGGUUCCUCUCUCUGAACCCGGCUGUUCCUGCGGCUCACCUGGAAGAGGAGAUCCCACAGUGUCCUGGGGAUGCUCAGUGAGUGGUUCUAGGGGGGAAAGGAUGGUCCCAGAGGGAGCCUUCCCCUUGAGAAGCCUGUGCUGGAUGGACCUGUGGAAUUACCCUGGAGAGAAGCACGGAGCAGGGAGAGCUUCCCUGGAGCUGGGCUUUCCCCCUCCCGUGCACAGGGAACACAGAGUGAGGCUCAGCCCAGCCUGGCGAGGUGCAGCCAUGCCUGGGAGCCCCCUCAGAGCAGGACCCAUGGUUCUGGGGAGCCAGAACCCCCAGAAAAUUGUCACGGGCACUUCCACCAUCCUGAUUCCAGCAAAUCAGAGCUGGGAUCCAGAGCAGGACUUUAAGGGGCUGUUAGUCCCACAGAUACCCUGCCUGGAGGGGCCUCAGUGGGUGGUGAUGAUGCUGAGCUGGGUCAUUUGGAGCCCAUAAAGCACCCAGGGCACAGCUCCUCCAGCAGCACCUUUCAUCCCUGCUCCACGAGCUUGGUGAUGCUCCCAAAUCCUUCUGUGUCACACGCAGACAUUUUUGGGGAUUACAGGAGCUUCAUCCUGAGACUUCAUCACCUACAGCAUCACAACAGCAUCACUGGGCGGCUCCAGCUGAUGGGAGAGCUGAGAAAACCCCGACUGCCAAACUCUGGCUGUGCUCUAACAUAUUCCAGCACAGGGAUUUGUAUCUCAGGGCAUCCCAAACCACCUCCCUGAGGGUGGGGACGGGGUGACAGCACUGCCAGGUGCUGGAGCAGCUGAGCAGAGACACCCACGUCCCACAGUGCCUGUUGUGACACAGGGAUGCUUUGAGUCACACGAGCUCCCGACCCCAUUGUGUCUCUUCCGCAUGAAUUCUGCACACAGGCUCAUGAAAUAUAAAUUGGAUCCUCAAAUAUUCAA
Long non-coding RNA from Taeniopygia guttata (zebra finch), 2193 nucleotides. RefSeq lists it as uncharacterized. The record is from RefSeq and is a predicted model, not a curated record. NCBI's taxonomy places the organism in Eukaryota, Metazoa, Chordata, Aves, Passeriformes, Estrildidae.